CUGGUUUCAGGUGGUGGAUAGUACCCAGAUUGGAAUGAUCUAAGCACCAGUUGAAAUCAGAGC
This 63-nucleotide microRNA precursor is filed under the name Patiria miniata (bat star). Its description in RNAcentral is "Pmi-Mir-29-P1_pre stem-loop". Lineage: Eukaryota; Metazoa; Echinodermata; Asteroidea; Valvatida; Asterinidae. The record is from RNAcentral.